Lonchura striata (white-rumped munia) is the source of this 257-nucleotide non-coding RNA. NCBI's taxonomy places the organism in Eukaryota, Metazoa, Chordata, Aves, Passeriformes, Estrildidae. The record is from RefSeq and is a predicted model, not a curated record.
AACCAGGACAGAGUCAGCAGCAGAUGUGCAGUCUCCUCACCACUGGAACCACAGUGGAGGUGAAGGAUACCACUGAAAAUGGACAGCAAGGGACUUGAGCUGAGAACAAAAAGAAGAAAAUAAAGAAUUAGAUAUUUGCAGUUACAGAGAUGAAUUGAGCUCACAAGGAAUUCAAAGAGCAAAGCAAGAACUAACAUUUGCAAAUCACAUCAUGCAAAUAAAGGGUUUUAUUCUGAGGUCUUCUGUUAUUAACCGAC